AUUCCGGUUGAUCCUGCCAGGGCGGAAAUGCAACAGCGUCAGCAGGCCUAUUCAGUUCUGAAGGACGAGGAGCUGUCAGAGCAGCUAAAAGCAUUGCAGGCUCUGCAACAACGCCAGGUAGAGCAGAUAGAACUCCAGCUGGAGAAAACUGCCCAGGCGGAACACUUCAAGGCUGCCAGGAGAGAAGAGCGAAUCGGGCGUAUUGAAAAAGUGUUUGAUGAAUACCAGGCCUGGGUGCGGGAUACCCUGACUAUCGAACCCGUGCCGUUUAUCCAGAUCAUUGCGGUGUUUACACAAGAGGAGAAUGCUGCGUGAUGUUGGCGCUCCGGGAGUUUACGAUUAGAAUGCGGGCUGAGUCGGCGGGGCUGCCCAUAGCAGUGCGAAAUGUUGUUACAUUGCUGGCUUACCUGUCUUUAUCGAGUCGCACAUCCAGUGCGACCAGUGCGACUUCUCUCUCUUCCGUAAUUUUGGCAUUUAUUGCAAGCACUGUUAUUCGUCUGUCAGCUCCCGUUUCGUCCCGCAGGAGUAAUACCUAACCAUGGCCGUACAAGACACCGCCGCCACCUUCAUCGGCUUAACCAACGACAACGAAUUCUUCAGCGCCCACUAUCUGGCCGAAGUGUUUCAGGGCGACUUUGCCGAAACCGUUAAAGAGUGGGAGGCAAAAGAAGAAACAACAAAAGCGGCCGGCGCAGGAAAAGCAGAGCAACCGGGUGACGUGGUCAGCGAGGUUGCGGCAGGCUAUCAUUUCACAACACCCCACCGCGCCCUGCGCAACCUGAACCAAAGCUACUUCGCCCUGCGCCACAAACUCAAAACCGAGCGCAGUGCUGCAGAACGAAUUCGCCUUCAGCGCGGCUUCUUCAAAGACCUCACCUCCGUACUGGGUAUUCCUUACCAGCCAGACAACCGUGAGCUGGCCCCCAACACCGAACUGCCGGUGCUCUCUGCCAUAGGUGACCAGCUCUGGGUGCUCGGCGCGCUGGAUGCAAACAACGAGGGUGAAGACCCCCUCUCCCUGAGACUGCACAGCAACCAGUUCGUCGGCCCGGGCCCGCACCACGACAAACUGAAAAACACCGAUUGGUACCGCAUCCUCAACGAGGCCGUAUUCCGGCAGGAUCAACCGGAAAU
RNAcentral lists this ribosomal RNA (1134 nucleotides) under uncultured marine crenarchaeote. Its description in RNAcentral is "partial 16S ribosomal RNA". The record is from RNAcentral. Lineage: Archaea; Thermoproteati; Thermoproteota.